CUCAAUACGCCAAACCGUUGCGGAGUUAUAGCCUCACAAGCAUUUUUGCGUGCUUUUCGUAGAAUUUGUUCGCGUGGUAUUCGAGAACGGUUGGACAAAUCAACUUGAAUUCCAUAACUUUUUGCCGGCAUCGUCUGAAGAUGAUCUGAGCCAAUUUUCGUGAAAAUCGGACUAACCGUCUAGGACGAGUUCGUAAAAGUAGGUUUUUCGAACAAUUGAAAAUAUCGAAAAAAACUAAACCUUGCGAUUUUUGAAUUUCAGGGUUCAUUCGACUUGGCCUGAGCCAAGGAUUCAGAGGAAAAAAUAAUUUUCAUUUUGUGGCUUACGGUUCAAAAGUUAUUAGCAUAAAAAUAUUGAAA
Cyprinus carpio carpio is the source of this 359-nucleotide long non-coding RNA. Lineage: Eukaryota; Metazoa; Chordata; Actinopteri; Cypriniformes; Cyprinidae. The record is from Ensembl.